Molecule: non-coding RNA, 45 nt
Organism: Arthrobacter sp.
Lineage: Bacteria; Bacillati; Actinomycetota; Actinomycetes; Micrococcales; Micrococcaceae
Source: Rfam
AAAAUGGCCCCUUUCGGGGCCAUUCCUACAACCAAAAUCCCUGUA